RNAcentral lists this long non-coding RNA (394 nucleotides) under Penaeus japonicus. RNAcentral describes it as "uncharacterized LOC122265398". The record is from RNAcentral. Lineage: Eukaryota; Metazoa; Arthropoda; Malacostraca; Decapoda; Penaeidae.
GCGGCUCUGCUGUCGCUGUUCGACCUCGUCCCCCGCGCCGAUCGACGCUCCUCCGCCUCCAUGCUCGACCGACUCUUCACCACACUCGACCUCAAUGAAGACGGGCUGAUCGACUCGCGGGAGUUCGAGACGGUGCUGAGGCUGGUCGGCACCAUGAACCGCCAUCCCUCCUUCGUGUGAGCCUUCUGCGGCGCCUCCUCCGGCUCCCUUCAACCCCGUCGGCCCAAUUGACUCCUUCGAGCUGAUGACGUCAGACUGACUCUCCCGUUGAAGAACGAAACACCGCCAUGAUGAACGAUGAAUGAACAGCCCUUGGUCUACCCUGAAUGUUCUUCAGGUGCAGCUUUCGCUCUUAUUAAUCUAAUCAUAUUUAAUAAACUUGAUCGCUUUUAAA